Molecule: ribosomal RNA, 216 nt
Filed under: Glomeromycotina sp.
Lineage: Eukaryota; Fungi; Glomeromycota
Description: partial small subunit ribosomal RNA
Rfam family: Eukaryotic small subunit ribosomal RNA (bases 75-216)
Source: RNAcentral
GGGUCAGUAGGCUGGUCGUGCCACCGGUACGUACUGGUCUCACUGAUCCCUCCUUCCUGAAGAACCGUAAUGCCAUUAAUUUGGUGUUGCGGGGAAGCAGGACUGUUACUUUGAAAAAAUUAGAGUGUUUAAAGCAAGCCAACGCUUGAAUACAUUAGCAUGGAAUAAUGAAAUAGGACGAUCGAUCCUAUUUUGUUGGUUUCUAGGAUUGACGUA